GAUGAACGCUGACAGAAUGCUUAACACAUGCAAGUCUUUGGCGAAGCUGUGCUUGCACAGCCUAGCCAAGGCGGACGGGUGAGUAACGCGUAAGGGACUUGCCCUGCAGUCAGGGAUAACAGACGGAAACGACUGAUAAGACCUGGUAAAGUCAGGCGGACUCAUGUCCAGCCUGAUGAAAAGGAAUGCUGCAGGAGAGCCUUGCGUCCUAUUAGCUUGUUGGUGGGGUAACGGCCCACCAAGGCGAUGAUAGGUAGCCGGCCUGAGAGGGUGGACGGCCACAAGGGGACUGAGAUACGGCCCUUACUCCUACGGGAGGCAGCAGUGGGGAAUAUUGGACAAUGGGGGCAACCCUGAUCCAGCAAUUCUGUGUGCACGAUGAAGGUCUUCGGAUUGUAAAGUGCUUUCAGCAGGGAAGAAAA
RNAcentral lists this ribosomal RNA (422 nucleotides) under Leptotrichia wadei. Its description in RNAcentral is "bacterial SSU rRNA". It matches the Rfam family "Bacterial small subunit ribosomal RNA", at positions 28 to 451 of the family's 1533-position model. Lineage: Bacteria; Fusobacteriati; Fusobacteriota; Fusobacteriia; Fusobacteriales; Leptotrichiaceae. The record is from RNAcentral.